UUGAUGGCUGUGCCAAUGUGAAGUGCAGAGUAAAUUCUGAUUGAUUCUAAAGCUUUGAGAGGCAAUAAGAUAAGUAUUGAUAAUGGUUGGGUAGAAUGUCAUAGCUUUUAGAAUACUUGUCUAAGAAAUGCAUAAUUAUGAUGCACUUCCAAGCCCAAAGGGCGAUGGUUAAUUUAUGGAUGACAAGUGCACAGAUAUGGUCUUCAUUUACAACUGCCUCAACAUAUUAUAUAUAUAAUAAAAGGUCGUGGUAGAGAAUAGAAAGUAGUC
Molecule: long non-coding RNA, 270 nt
Filed under: Physcomitrium patens
Lineage: Eukaryota; Viridiplantae; Streptophyta; Bryopsida; Funariales; Funariaceae
Description: long non-coding RNA (PPAT_LNC007557)
Source: RNAcentral